UUUAACUGAGCGUUCAGUUACUUGACGUAGACCCGAAACCGGGCGACCUACCCAUGAGCAGGAUGAAGCGAAAGUAAAAUUUCGUGGAGGUCCGAACCCACGAGCGUUGAAAAGCUCGGGGAUGACUUGUGGGUAGCGGUGAAAUUCCAAUCGAGCCCGGAGAUAGCUGGUUCUCCCCGAAAUAGCUUUAGGGCUAGCCUCAAGGUGAGAGAUACGGAGGUAGAGCACUGAAUGUCCUAGGGGGUAUUGCACCUACCGAAGACUAUCAAACUCCGAAUGCCGUCAUCUUAUACUUGGGAGUCAGACUGUGGGUGAUAAGAUUCAUAGUCGAAAGGGCAACAGCCCAGAUCGUCAGCUAAGGUCCCUAAAUGUAAGUUAAGUGGUAAAGGAUGUGGGAUUGCACAGACAACCAGGAUGUUGGCUUAGAAGCAGCCACUCAUUCAAAGAGUGCGUAAUAGCUCACUGGUCGAGUGAUCCUGCGCCGAAGAUUUCCGGGGCUAAAACUUACUACCGAAGCUACGGCAUCAGUAAUGAUGGGUAGGGGAGCUUCCCAUACGGGUUGAAGCAUGACCGUAAGGACAUGUGGACAGUAUGGGAGUGAGAAUGUUGGCAUGAGUAGCGAGAUGUGGGUGAGAAUCCCACAGGCCGUAAACCCAAGGUUUCCAGGGGAAGGUUCGUCCACCCUGGGUUAGUCGGGACCUAAGCUGAGGCCGAAAGGCGUAGGUGAUGGACAACAGGUUGAUAUUCCUGUACUACCGAUAACCGUUUGAGAGAAGGGAUGACACAGUAGGAUAAGCUAAGCACACUGUUGGUUAUGUGUGCCCAAGCAUUGAGGCAGUCAAAGUAGGCAAAUACGCUUUGAUAAUGCUGGGAUGUGAUGGGGAGCGAAAUUUAGUAGCGAAGUAGCUGAUUUCACACUGUCAAGAAAAGUCUCUAUCGAGGUUAAAGGUACCCGUACCGCAAACCGACACAGGUGGGUGAGGAGAGUAUCCUAAGGCCAGCGAGAGAACUGUUGUUAAGGAACUCGGCAAAAUGACCCCGUAACUUAGGGAUAAGGGGUGCCACCAUCAGGUGGCCGCAGAGAAUAGGCCCAAGCGACUGUUUACCAAAAACAUAGGUUUCUGCUAAGUCGCAAGACGAUGUAUAGGAGCUGACGCCUGCCCGGUGCUGGAAGGUUAAGGGGAUCUGUUAGAGCAAUCGAAGCAGUGAACUUAAGCCCCAGUAAACGGCGGCCGUAACUAUAACGGUCCUAAGGUAGCGAAAUUCCUUGUCGGGUAAGUUCCGACCCGCACGAAAGGCGUAACGAUUUGGGCACUGUCUCAACAACAGACUCGGUGAAAUUGUAAUUCCGGUGAAGAUGCCGGAUACCUGCGACAGGACGGAAAGACCCCAUGGAGCUUUACUGUAGCUUGACAUUGGGUCUUGGUACUACAUGUACAGGAUAGGUGGGAGGCUUUGAAACCAGGACGCCAGUUUUGGCGGAGCCAUCCUUGGGAUACCACCCUUGUA
RNAcentral lists this ribosomal RNA (1509 nucleotides) under Clostridioides difficile. RNAcentral's name for it is "partial 23S ribosomal RNA". It matches the Rfam family "Bacterial large subunit ribosomal RNA", at positions 683 to 2210 of the family's 2925-position model. Lineage: Bacteria; Bacillati; Bacillota; Clostridia; Peptostreptococcales; Peptostreptococcaceae. The record is from RNAcentral.